Molecule: ribosomal RNA, 484 nt
Filed under: uncultured Bacillota bacterium
Lineage: Bacteria; Bacillati; Bacillota
Description: bacterial SSU rRNA
Rfam family: Bacterial small subunit ribosomal RNA
Source: RNAcentral
GGCAGCAGUGGGGAAUCUUCGGCAAUGGGCGAAAGCCUGACCGAGCAACGCCGCGUGAAUGAUGAAGGCCUUCGGGUUGUAAAAUUCUGUUAUAAGGGAAGAACGACUUUAGUAGGAAAUGGCUAGAGUGUGACGGUACCUUAUGAGAAAGCCACGGCUAACUACGUGCCAGCAGCCGCGGUAAUACGUAGGUGGCGAGCGUUAUCCGGAAUUAUUGGGCGUAAAGAGCGCGCAGGUGGUUGAUUAAGUCUGAUGUGAAAGCCCACGGCUUAACCGUGGAGGGUCAUUGGAAACUGGUCGACUUGAGUGCAGAAGAGGGAAGUGGAAUUCCAUGUGUAGCGGUGAAAUGCGUAGAGAUAUGGAGGAACACCAGUGGCGAAGGCGGCUUCCUGGUCUGUAACUGACACUGAGGCGCGAAAGCGUGGGGAGCAAACAGGAUUAGAUACCCUGGUAGUCCACGCCGUAAACGAUGAGUACUAGGUGU